Molecule: long non-coding RNA, 2120 nt
Filed under: Athene cunicularia (burrowing owl)
Lineage: Eukaryota; Metazoa; Chordata; Aves; Strigiformes; Strigidae
Description: lncRNA (ENSACUG00000001750.1)
Source: RNAcentral
UUAGGCUUAAAAGCACAAAGCAGUUUACAGCACUUUCAUUCAUAGGUCUCAAAAAGUGCAGUGCAGGGAGGAGCAUCUGGUAAUCCCUACUGUAGAAGGGAAAACAAUGGCCCAGAGCAUUGUAUCACUGAGUAGCCAAGUUGGGAAUCCCACCCGAAUCAAUCCUGUCUCUGGACAAAGCUGUGACUUCCCUAUGAAUACAACAGUUCUGUCUUGUUCUCAGAUGCCCAUACCAAAGCAAUUACUGUAUGGAAGAUGCUGACUGGCUGGAAGAACCUGUCCAUUCUGGGUCUGUAAUGGAGUCUGUGAGGAGAUCAGCUUCCUGGUGUGGAAGAAGGAAGAUGUCAGAGCUCUCCUGCAGAGUUAACAUGCCCGACACAGAGACCAACUUAGUCAUUAUAGGACUCCAGGAUCCUGGCCAGAUGGAGCAAGAGAGGCUGCCAAAUCCGUCAGGUUGAUGGAGCCAGCAGGCUGCUCCACCUGACUGUCUGGAAGCAUUCUUUUGCUCUCUUGGGAGGUUCUCAGCGCGUCUCCAUUUCCUCUGAAAGAAGGUUCACCCAUGACUGCCAACAUCUCUGUCAGGUCUUCUUUCCAUGGGUGCUGCCAUUGCAAAACCCAGAGACCCAUGGCUCUUCUUAGCACUGUUUUAGCCAUCUCCCAGCUGCAUAAGCCCUGAAAAUUUCCAAAAUGUAGAUAAGGAAGCAGAUGAACACAGCAGAAGAGACAUAGGCUCUUGGCUAGUGCUAUAGCUGCUUUAUAGAGAUAGAGGAGAUUGUCUUCUCAAAAAUUCCUCAUAUAUCUCACAACCUGGUGAAGACAACAACAAACCGUAUUUUUCUGUUCUUUUAAAGGAAAAGAACUUCUUUGUCAACACUGAGAAGAGAUCCUGAAGAAUCCCGAGGUGCGUGAGGAGGUAACAAGAAGACAGCUGAAAUUUAUGUUAUUUUAAGUUUCUAUGCUAAUCUCAAGAAUGAUCGUGCUGAGAAAGUAAAUCCUUUGCAAAUGCUCAUGAAUCUCUGGUAUUCAGGUGCCCUGCAGGAGAGAUGCAGAGACAUAGAAAAGAUUUUCAGCACUUGAUCUCAGCAUGUGGUUCUCAUUUGGUGCUGUGUUCUGCCUGUUCCUUGCCUGGGACAGUGUUCAGAACAAGUGGGGUUUUCAAAAGUGAUCCACAUAGGGGAGAGCAAGAAAAUUCCUGUUUCUCCCCCUACCCAGUCUAAACAGAUUGCUCCAACUGCACCUCCUCUUCUGGAUCCUCCUCCCAAGUACAGGUGAAGAAUGUUUUUUCACAAGAUUUGGAAGCUGAUGCUUGUACAUCACUUGCAUUGACAGUUCUGUUAUCCAUCUGGAGUCAUGCCCUACUGUUGCUCUGUCUGAUGGGUAGUGUUGUCUCUUACUGUGUUUCAGGCUCGUUUUACACCUGAAAGUGCUAUCCUAAGUGCGUACAUGGCAGUGAGGUGGAGCUCCGAAAUAGGAGAGAGGGACAGAGAAAAAGAAGAGGUGGAAAAAAGCACCAGCAACAAGCCCAGCAAGUUCACUGAAUGCAUAAGCAGUACCAUCAGUGUGUGCUUGUGAAAUACUUAGUUGGAGAGAGUAGCCUUACUGGUUCUGGCUGAUUCAAACAAUAGGUCUCUUUUACCUGUCAUUAACAUGUGAGAUGUUCACCCUGGCCAGGAAAUCUGUCACUUUUUGUCCAGUUCACUGUAGCUUGUCACACACUGAAAAGACAUGCAACUCCAUGCUCUUUUCUCUCUUUCCUUAAUGCAGAGGUUCCCAAACCAUGACAAAGACCCCUAUCAACCUUCUUUAAGUCUUUUGGAGCACUUAGACCUUUAUUGUUCAACUCUGAAUAGAGAGCUUUUAAGAAUACUUGGUUCUUCAGGACAACUAGACUUUUAUAACCUCACCAGCCAUCCAUAGAUCAAGGGUGGGAAGUUCUGUUUUGGCCAAAAAGGUGCCAAUUUUUGAUUAUUUUCUCUUUGAUUUUUAAAAUACAACAAGAAUUCUGGUGAAGAAGAACUGCAUCUAAUAAGGAGCAAAGGAUUAAUGAAGAAGAAAAUGGGAGAUCUUUUUUUGCUGACGUGGAAAGGGAGAAAAAAAUAAAACGGCUGCUUGUGGAAACA